RNAcentral lists this long non-coding RNA (311 nucleotides) under Brassica napus (rape). RNAcentral's name for it is "long non-coding RNA (BNAP_LNC014456)". Lineage: Eukaryota; Viridiplantae; Streptophyta; Magnoliopsida; Brassicales; Brassicaceae. The record is from RNAcentral.
AUCCCAGUUAUCAAUAAAGUCUAUUUUCUCCCACCGGAAACUAUUUAACAUCGUUGUGUUCUAAAGAUAUCAUUGCCCACAUCAUUUGUCUUCCCUAGAUCAACCCCGAUCACUAUCAAACACUUUGUGUAGAAUUUAGGUUCUACAAACGAUACAUGUAAUUGGGGAUCAUUCUGGAGAAGGCGGACCCUGAGUCAGUCCAAGAACCCGAGGGAUCCCCAGAGAACCUAUGUCGACCGCUCCGCAUGGUCUCCUCCGAAGCUCUUCAAAGUUCCAUCCGCUUUCAAGACCUGGUCCUCGCAAGACCCUCA